GCAGGUGGGCCCCUGCCCUGUCUUUCUCCACUGCAAGGAAACUAGGAAAGUUCCUAGCAUAGGGCUCAGCCCCUGGCAGGUACUCUUGCAGAAGCCAGGACUGUGGCUCCAGAGCACAGCUAGGUCCCUUUGAUGCUCGUAGGCUGCAGGCAGGAGGACAUGUUUCUGGGAUCCACAUUGUGGAUCAGCCUGCUCCAUGCUUUUCCUGUCCCAUGGCUUCCCUGUUCAGUAGUGCAGGGACUCAGCAGAAUCCUCAUCCCUGCAGCUGCGUACUGGCCCAAGAAAAGGAGUCCAUAUACUAUUCAGUCUUGGCACACAGGCCUCAAACGACUCAGAUGAGGGUCCUGCUUUUGGGGAGGUCCCCUGGUUAUGUUGAGGCUGAGAUUUAGAAUAAUAAUAGUGACACCAUAUGGUAAGUCAUGUACAGGUGCAUGGGAUCCUGUGGGAAGGUUAUGUAUAAAUGCAGGAGGGACAAAGUGGUAGUGACAGUUGUGACUGACGACUAAGGGACUUGCUAGCUAGGCAGAGGAGCAGCAAGAGGACAGCAGCAUUUAGGUGGGAAGAAUAGUAGUAAAGUCGACUUGAGGUGGGGUGCUGAGAGAUGAAACUGGGUAAUUAGGUUGCGGCCAUGCCAGGGAGUUUGGAGCUGAUGAGGAGUCACUGGAGAGUUUUAACCCAUUCAUGCCAGAGGUUACAAAGUUUUUUGUGUGAAAAAUCAGACCUUGGCAAUGACCUUGAGCAGUAGGCUAUAAGUAACUCCCAAAAGCUUAGCGUUCCAAUAAUGGAAUACUAGGCAUAAAUGGGUUAAGCUAACUUGCACUUUGAGCAGUUCCCUGCUGAUCCUUUAGGAAGAAAAAUCGGGAGGAGAAGAAAUUAAGGGCGUGAGCAGAGGUGACAGAUGACAGAAUAAGGAAUGGAGAACGGAGUCAGUGAAAUUUAGUGGGAGUGACGACACACCAGGAAGAUAAAUUUAGCUGUCAGGGUAUAGAUUUGAAGUAGUCUGGGACUUGCAGGUUGGAGAUCCUGGCAAUCUUCAGCUGCUCAGUUGUUGGUUUGGCAUCUCUAGUGCAGCGUUUCUGGGCCUCGUUGUUGAUGAUUUGGCUGAUUGGUACUUUUGUGCUGUAGGGGGUCUGUCCUGUGUAAUCCCAGCAGCAUCCCUGGCCUCUAUCCACUGGAUGCUAGUGCAUUACCCCACGCCAACUGGCACAACCGAAAAUAUCUUCGAGUAUUGCCGAAUAUUCAGGCCAAAUCACCCUUGAUUGAGAACCACUGCUCGAGCAAGCUGAAGGUAGGAGCCGCCAUUCAAGAAGCAGGAGAGAAGACAUGGAGAAUGCAGCAUGGAUGGCCAGAGAAGAGCAAGAGCUACCUUGGGGUGGGGAUGAGGGCAGGACUGGAAAAGCUUCAUUGGAUUUGGGAGCUGGAAGGUUGUUAGGGCAGUGGCCACUACAGUUGAGGUGGGAGGGCAGGAGGCAGAGACAAGCAAGUAUAGAUUUUAAGAAGCCUGGCUGUGAGGGAAGUGGGAAAACAAGGCCAGUGGUCAGAGGGGACUGUGGCAGGAAGAGCAGUUGUGCUGGGCCACUCAGAUUGUGGUUCCAACCUUGGGCACCUGUUGUCUCCUGCUCACGAGGUCAGCGAGCAGGCAGUCCAGGCUGAGUGGACCUUCUUUGGCAGGUCCUACCGCAAACCAAGCUGAUUUCCAGGGCCUUGAUAAUUCUCAGUGGGGAGGCAGCGGCUCAGACCAAAUGGCAGGAGCUAUCAGCCCCAAAGUGUCUGCACCUCUUCUGAAUUCCAAGUCCCAGGGGCAGGGGCUGAGUAGUGAGGUGGGUGAAGAAAAGAGCCACCGGCUACCCGAAUAAGCCCAGAAUAUAACUCCCAUGUCUGAGCUGACCCAUCAGUUGUGAAAACCAGAGCCUGUGCAGAGGGGAGAGCAACGGGUGACAUGGGCCCCUUGUGGCCUUGGAGAGUCACUUCACUGCUCAGAGACGUGCCUGAUUCUGACAUUGGGAUUUAAAUCCUCUUCUAAGAUUCAUUUGGGGGGUGAUGAAAGAACAGGAGCACUGGAGCAGGCAGAUAUGAGGACUGUAGCCGCCCAGAAUGGGCACUGAGGCACUCCCAGAACAACAACGGACAUGAGUGCUGAGUUCUCUGCCCUCCCCAUUUGAUUGAUUGAUAGGUGAAGAGAGAUGGGCUCAGAGACGGCUGGGAUGUUGACUCGUACUUCUGUCAGUAACCAGCAGGGUGGCUGCUUAAAGAUGACCAUGUGGAAGCAGAUACCAGGAGUCCUCUCCCAAAGCCUGGCAGCAGCCAAAGCCUAUCAGCACCAAGGAACCGACACAGCUCCACCCUGAGCAGGCCAUGCACCUGCCUCUCCAACACCUGUUGGCAGAGCCUUGCCCUCCUCACGUUCAUCCUCACCUCGGCCAACCUUGGUAAGAACACUCAACAUUCACUGAGUACGUACUCUGCACCAGGUACUGUUCAAAACAUAUUAUGUGUAUUAACUCAUCUAAUUCCUGAGCCCCAUGGGAAUGUGCUGGAAGGAGAGAAAUUCUUUGGCCCAGAUUCCCGCAUGGUUUCUAGUCUCUAUUUCUAGCUGUGCUGUAAAGCUUACAUAACCUAAUUUGCAUUAUGGUACUAUUUUUAAAAACCUCCAAAGAUCGCUGCUUCAAAGCAUCAAUGGAAUCUGUUAGUUCCUACCUAAAAUGAUAAUGUGGGAAAGGAUAUCUAUUCUUACAACCAACUCAACUGGAAUUCUUGACUUAAAACAGUCUUUUGGGAAGAGGCUAUUAAGAAAGGAAGGGACUGAUUCUUAUAUAAGUACUAGCUCUGUGCUCUGUAAAUAAGGGCUAGAGAGAAACACAUCAAUAUUGAAACCCACCUCAGCAGUAGUUUCUUGGCUCUGCUGUUGUUAUCCAUUUACCACCUGUCUCCUUUCCAAGACUCCUAAUAACACUGAGGAACCUGUGGUCACUGCACAGCAUGGCGUCAGACUGUAUAGGGUAUGAGUUUGAAUACACAGAACCUUUCUCAUUCUGGAUGAUUCAGAGAUAGCCCCACCCUCUCUCAGGAGGCACUGGCAUAAGAUGAAUGGGAAUUAGGGGAAGACCAUUCACAGAGCAGGUUGUUUUCAGCUUUAACUGCUCUUAAUGACCCUGGUGUAUAGGGCUCUGGAUUGCUUGAAAUCUAAUUGCUGGGGUGGGGCAGGGAAGGCGGGGGGAUCUCCUUAGUUCUUUCCUCUAACUCACUACUGAAGAUUUCCCUCCAGUUAUUAAUGAAAUCUAGGAAACAGGGAAAUUAUGGUGAAUGACUGAUUAUAAGGGUGAAACUUUCUCAUUUGUCAUUAAAAAAAAUGUGCUCAGUGUUUAAAUUAACCACUUUGUCCUUUGUUCUACUAUAAAAACUACUUGGAAAGGACUGUAGUAUUUGUUAUGAAUUCAUUUCAUUACAUUCACUUAUUGGACAGAGGUCCAUGAACAUAAACCAGAGUAGGUUUCAGGCUCUCAAAACUGCCAGGGAAAUAUUUUAAAUGAGUGAAUUUCCAAGUGACGCCUAUUUUGGUGAUGUCAGAGGGCCUACAUUAUUAAACAGUUUAUAAUUAAACUAAUAACUGAGCUGAUAUUCUUUUUGCCACAGUUAACAAAGUAUCUGGUUCCCAAAGUAGGAUAUUUGUAAUAGGCCCAAUUCCAACAACAAGGAGACUGUCAGAAUUAAAAUGCUUCCACUGGGCACAGCCUCUGUUCACUUGUACCCAGAAGAGGACCUGGCACCUAAUAGGCACUAGGCUGUUUCAGCAGGACUGGAUCGCACUCAGUACUAGUCAGCUAUACCUCGUACAACCUUUUAUAGAGGCCAAAGCCACAUUAAAUGUACAUACAGAUUCUGCAUGGAAAAAAACAAGAGUUGUUCCAGCAACUUUAAAGUGAGUAAUCAAAAGAAACUGCUACUUAGAAACAAAUAUGAAACAUGAAAUUCAUUUUAAUCUACAUAUAUCAAAUACAGCCUUAGCACAGAACAUCUUACACAAUUAAAUGCAUUUAUGGGACACACCUAAAUGAAGCAAAUCUUUAUUAAAAUAUCUGCCUAACCCUCACAUCUUUACAUGAACUCCAUGAUGGUUGAAUAAGGUGGGAAAUCAAUAAUCUAGCUACCUAACCUGGAAAAGACAGAUGGAUUGCUUUAAGUCUAUUUGGUCUCUGCAGACUCUGAUAUUCACCACCCCGAGUCUUGCUAAAGUUGGUUCUGCAAAUAAUUAACUUAGCUCAGUCAAUUAUAUAUUUUUCCAUAGUUACCAUAAUAUUUUGUUUUGUUUUUUUUUUUUCAUUUUCUAUUGCUUUUUUUUUUUAUGGCUUCUUGCUGUUGUUGUAUUAUGGCAUACAACACAGAUCAGAGACUUUCAUUUCUCGGAGAAGUUUCUCUCCUUGAGAAAUUGGCACUUUGAUCCCCAGCUUGUGUAACAGCUUACACAUACGGAUCCUACCAGCACUGUUCCCAACCUUGCUGCCUAGGAAAUUCCACUGCUUUGGCCAAAAGAGUGCCCUGUCAUUAAAAUCUUCUUAGAUGAACUGUUCCUAUCACUGAAUUCUUACAUUUAAACAGGUAUGUGUGUGUAAUUUACAUACAUGUUAUAUCCUAAGUUUCUACACACACACACACUUAGUGUAAGUGAAAUGUCUGUCUUGAAUAAAAAGCAGUUACAAGGGUAUUAAAACAAAUGUUGAAAAAUAACUAUUUUACAUUUAGACCAUACAAUUUUUAAAGGUAAUGCGAUGACAUAUGACCUAAGAGAUCAAAUACAUCAUAUAUGAUUGUCAUAUAUGCAUGUUGUCUUAAUUGACUAUUUUUCUCUUUAAUCAGAAAAUAAAAGAGCUUACCUUUGUAUACUGAGAUCACAGCUUACAGUCACUAUAUCUCAGCCUAUUUUAUACAAGUGAUAUGGCUACGAAGGUCCGAGGAGAACGAGAAUAAAGUGAGAUAAACGUGCUGAAAACUGCUUAAAAGUAUUAACCUGAAAUACACAGAGGGUCCAACACCAGUUUUAAAAAUACAUUAACGAGGUAUUCUCAGCUCUUCAAUUAAUAAUGGUGGCUGAUUCAUGAUUUUCAAACAUUCACCCAAAAUUUAAAAAAAAAAAAAAAAAA
Nomascus leucogenys (northern white-cheeked gibbon) is the source of this 5138-nucleotide long non-coding RNA. RefSeq lists it as uncharacterized. The transcript is spliced from 2 exons. The record is from RefSeq and is a predicted model, not a curated record. Lineage: Eukaryota; Metazoa; Chordata; Mammalia; Primates; Hylobatidae.